UACAGAGGGUGCGAGCGUUAAUCGGAAUUACUGGGCGUAAAGCGUGCGUAGACGGUUAUUUAAGUCGGAUGUGAAAGCCCCGGGCUCAACCCGGGAAUUGCAUUCGAGACUGAAUAGCUAGGGUACGGUAGAGGGAAGUGGAAUUUCCGGUGUGGCGGUGAAAUGCGUAGAUAUCGGAAGGAACAUCAGUGGCGAAAGCGGCUUCCUGGACCAGUACCGACGUUCAGGCACGAAAGCGUGGGGAGCAAACAGG
This 253-nucleotide ribosomal RNA is filed under the name uncultured bacterium. Its description in RNAcentral is "partial 16S ribosomal RNA". It matches the Rfam family "Bacterial small subunit ribosomal RNA", at positions 524 to 776 of the family's 1533-position model. The record is from RNAcentral.